GAACCAUUAAAAAACCCAAAAUAAAUUCUUUCCAAGGUCAUUCGAACUCCCUCCCCAAUUCGAGACUCUCUUUCCUCCGAGCCCUAACUCAAACAUUCCACUGGCCACUCACCACACCGGCGUUCGUGACCGUGGAAUGGCAGGAAGCAUUCUGGCAGAUCGAACAACCCUUAACAGUUCAUACCGGUGGUUAGCAUUCAUCGGAACAAAGGUAAUCUUGUGCUUCUUGCAGUCACAGGAGAUGGAAAUUGUUUUCGAAGCAACAAAAUACCUGCGUAGCUUUCCUCAGUUAUGAACUAAUCCCUGUGUUUAUAGCGUGGGAACUUGAGAAACCACCAUUGCAAGAACACGAGAUUAUCGCUGGCUUGAGAAAGCAAAUGCAAAAAAAAGUUUCAGAGCACCGAAGAAUUUACUACUUGCACAUAACCCAUGCCUUUGAAUCAACAUAGUAGCUAAUCUAGAUUAGGAAAAUUCUUUUUUUUGUCCCCGUGUUUUCUAGAAAUUACUGAAAUUUCUAAGACAUGCCUGUUAUCUUAUCAUCGACAGCGACAUAGGAGGUAUCAAUUGAAAAAGAGAACCCACCUCCUACAGGUGCCUCUAAGUA
Nelumbo nucifera (sacred lotus) is the source of this 604-nucleotide long non-coding RNA. RefSeq lists it as uncharacterized. Lineage: Eukaryota; Viridiplantae; Streptophyta; Magnoliopsida; Proteales; Nelumbonaceae. The record is from RefSeq and is a predicted model, not a curated record.